RNAcentral lists this ribosomal RNA (301 nucleotides) under uncultured bacterium. Its description in RNAcentral is "partial 16S ribosomal RNA". It matches the Rfam family "Bacterial small subunit ribosomal RNA", at positions 509 to 807 of the family's 1533-position model. The record is from RNAcentral.
CAGUCGCCGCGGGAAUACCGAGGAUGCAAGCGUUAUCCGGAAUGAUUGGGCGUAAAGCGCGCGUAGGCGGCUUGGUAAGUUAGAGGUGAAAGCCUGGGGCUCAACCCCAGAAUUGCCUUUAAGACUGCCGAGCUAGUAGGUGAGAGAGGUAAGUGGAAUUCCGAGUGUAGCGGUGAAAUGCGUAGAGAUGUGGAGGAACACCAGUGGCGAAGGCGACUCUCUGGUCUGUAACUGACGCUGAGGAGCGAAAGCGUGGGGAGCGAACAGGAUUAGAUACCCCCGUAGUCCCUGUCUCUUAUAC